This 1257-nucleotide long non-coding RNA is filed under the name Diabrotica virgifera virgifera (western corn rootworm). RNAcentral describes it as "uncharacterized LOC126881311". The record is from RNAcentral. Lineage: Eukaryota; Metazoa; Arthropoda; Insecta; Coleoptera; Chrysomelidae.
AGUUAUGCUACGGACCAUUUAAAAUUAAUUACGAUUUUCGAUUCAUUCAAUUAUAUUUCAUUAAAAAUACCCCUCUAGAAAAUUCUUUGGAGACGCCUAUUUAAUCGCCUAGGUGCCUAUUUUCGCAGCGAAGCAAGAGGAAAGCACCGCGCAUGUUUCUAUCGGAUCGAUACGAAUCGAUUUCCGAUAACAUUGAACAGCAGUUGGUCAGGAAACGGCUCGAAGGGCGGAUGGCGCGCCGCUAGUAAGGUUAUUCCCCCUUUUAAGUGACGGGAUUGAAACAAAUUUUCGAUGGAAAUCAAAUAAUUAGAAGGAAAUCAAGCGUUAGCUAAUCCCAUCUACAAAACUAGAUAACCAAAGUUAAACAUCUCUUUGGACUUCUUCACAUAACAGAAGUGGAUAUUCCGGCGUGCCUGCCUUGUUUCAAUCCCGUAACUUAGUUAUUUAGUCACACAACGUGACUCUAUCACGUUGAUUAUGUACUACCUAGUUAGAUUGCUAGCCACUCUGUGAUGGUUUAUCCCUAGAGUGGGCUGUUUUUGUUGGAUAAUACACCAUACCGGAUUUUAUUACAACCAGCAUCUUCACCCAGGACCUUGCAGUAGGACUUACUCACCACAGCAGCCAACCGUUUUAUCGUGCCAAAAGGGAAUUUCCUACGGAAUUCAUCUCUAUGGACUUGCAACCCUACUUUUAACCGGCUGUUGUGUAAAAGCUAAGUUUAUUUAUUUUUUCUGUAUUUACUUUUGGGUAAGAUAUAUUUGCUACAUUGUAAACUUUUCGUAUGCAUACGAUUAGGAAGAGUACAUAUAUUUUCGUGAUAGAUAGGGUUUUAGGUUGUUGUUUUUUUUUUCUUUUUGAUUCAGUAUAAGUAGGAGUUAAUUAAAAUAAAUAAAAUCAGGUCUUGUUUAAUAAUCAUAAAUAAUUGUAUCUUAAAAUUAGAUAGGGAAUCGGGUUGUAAAAUUUUGUCGUGGAGUUUAAAAUAGGGAAUACGUCUAGUAGGUUUUUUUUUGUAAAAUAUAUAAAGAGUCACUGACCAACUCAUUUAUAUAGACCUUUUUGCUAUUCCAACGGACUUUUGAUUUGGAUUUUGAUUUUAAUACUUUUGCUUGGCCAGUGAUAGUGGAUAAUUGCUUGUUGAGUGGCCUUUGCGGUCCUAUUUUAUCUUUUCCCCAUCCACUAUCACUGUUAUUACGUUGCGUUAUAUGUAAAGUGUUAACAUUUAAUAUUUAUUAUUAAUAUAUUUGUAUGUAUUAA